This 457-nucleotide ribosomal RNA is filed under the name uncultured bacterium. RNAcentral describes it as "partial 16S ribosomal RNA". It matches the Rfam family "Bacterial small subunit ribosomal RNA", at positions 28 to 523 of the family's 1533-position model. The record is from RNAcentral.
GAUGAACGCUGGCGGCGUGCCUAAUACAUGCAAGUCGAGCGGUAAGGCCCUUCGGGGUACACGAGCGGCGGACGGCUGAGUAACACGUAGGAACGUACCCCAAACUGAGGGAUAAGCACCAGAAAUGGUGUCUAAUACCGCAUGUGGCCUUCGGGCUAAAGCUCCGGCGGUUUGGGAACGGCCUGCGUCCGAUUAGCUAGUUGGUAGUGUAAUGGACUACCAAGGCGACGAUCGGUAGCUGGUCUGAGAGGAUGAUCAGCCAGGCUGGGACUGAGACACGGCCCAGACUCCUACGGGAGGCAGCAGUAGGGAAUUUUCCACAAUGGGGGCAACCCUGAUGGAGCAACGCCGCGUGCAGGAUGAAGGCCUUCGGGUUGUAAACUGCUUUUAUCUGUGACGAUUAUGACGGUAGCAGAUGAAUAAGGACCUGCUAACUACGUGCCAGCCGCCGCAGUAA